Molecule: long non-coding RNA, 1599 nt
Organism: Hemicordylus capensis (graceful crag lizard)
Lineage: Eukaryota; Metazoa; Chordata; Lepidosauria; Squamata; Cordylidae
Exons: 3
Source: RefSeq, a predicted model, not a curated record
UCAAAAACUUGAACAGACUUGUCUGCUUGUUCUGUUUGGAACUCAUUGCAAUAAUGAGAGGUACUAGGGCAGUGCUUCUGUCUUGAGCAGUCCAACGAUAGGACUCAAGGAAAGUGGAAAAACUUGCAGUUCUUCCCGCUCUUUCGCCUCUUGCCGGUUUUACCCCUGCAAGAAAAUAAGAAGUUUUUUUCUUAGAGGGCUGCAGGUCCUCAACUCCUGCCUGUAGCUUCCAGCAGCAUCUGUUGGGCCACUGUGCGAAACAGGAUGUUGGAAUAGAUUGGCCUUGAGCCUGAUCCAGCUGGGCAGUUCUUAUGUUUCUAUGACAUGCAUUAAGGUGGGAGGGCAAAAAAGGGGAGUUGCAGGGUGGGGAGUUUACUGAAAGAGAAGUGGUUCACGAGAUGAUGAAAGAGAAGACCCCCUCACAAUUAACACUCCCUCUGAACAAUUUUUUUUUUAAUAGUCUGUUAUUCAGCUGAUAUAGGACCAGUUGAGACAGUUCAACAAUCCAUGGUCUGCUUGGUUGUGAGAAAGCAACAUGAAUGAGUUUGGAAGCCUGAACACUCAUUUCUCCUACCUCAUGCACCUCGGAAUUCUUGUUCAUUUAACCAUGACUUGGGGAACAAUAAUUAUGGACUAGAAACCAAAAUAUGAAACUAGGAUUUAUUUUCAGUUCCAUAUGCUUGUUUGUAAUCCAUAGAUAAACAGCUCCCAGCUAUGGAAAACACACACAGCUGUGGUUUCAUGAAAGAGUAUUGUUGUGAUGCAGCUGGAGCUUGGGAGUAAAGGGGAGAAUAGAAGUGUGCUUGAAUGGGGCCGUCAGGCAGCCUUGAGCAAACUCCACUUCUCGGCCAGCCACUGCAAGGGCAGACCCGCUCCCCACCCCUCCCUUAAGGCUCGGCUCGGGCACCACCAUGCAAAGAGUAGCCAAGUCACUAAUAGUACCUUCAAGCGAUCAUAGACUGCGCCAGCAACCGCCGCCAGCUAUCCUCCACGAAUCUGUAUUAUUUUGUGUUCUACCGAUGCUGCAAAAAAUCCAAAAACCAAGAAAAUUAAGUCUUUAUUUCAAUUAACAUUUCUUGGCAUAGGCAGAUAUUAAAACAACACUGGAACGAACAAGACUAUUAACAGCGAUUGACAGCAGCAAGGUGUGUGAGGAUGUUUUGGACUAUAUCCACACAAAGAGAAGCUCAAGCUCACAGGCCCAGGAAGAAGGAUGUGUAUACAGAUUAUGUGAAGAAUAGCACUAAUAUACAAUAAGGAAUGAAGGAGGUGCCAAAGAGCUAACAAAAGCUCCAGAACUGCAGGAACUCACCAUGCCUUCCUGGCUGUGUGUUGAGGAAGUGGAGACAGGUUCCAUACACUGGGCAACCAGAUACAAAGGAGGAGAGGAUUCCUGAAUGUUAGAUGGUUGUGCAAAACAGGUGGUGUUUAACAAGAACAGCUUGCUGUGCAGACCACAGGGAGAGAACCCCGCUCCCCUUAUGAUGACUGAAGAUACAUAUACUUUACAUGAUCUGUCCUUAUUACCACUGACAUAAGUGUAUGUGAAAGUAGCUGAAGGUAUAUAUUGAUUGUGUUGUCUCCAUAGAUUCAGCAUCU